This 246-nucleotide ribosomal RNA is filed under the name uncultured bacterium. RNAcentral's name for it is "partial small subunit ribosomal RNA". It matches the Rfam family "Bacterial small subunit ribosomal RNA", at positions 26 to 285 of the family's 1533-position model. The record is from RNAcentral.
AGAAUCAACGCUGGCGGCGUGCCUAACACAUGCAAGUCGAACGAGAAAGUGGGAGCAAUCCCAUGAGUAAAGUGGCGCACGGGUGAGUAACACGUGACUAACCUACCCUUGAGUGGGGGAUAACCUAGGGAAACCUGGGCUAAUACCGCAUAAUACCUACGGGUCAAAGGAGCAAUUCGCUUUAGGAGGGGUCGCGGCAGAUUAGUUAGUUGGCGGGGUAAUGGCCCACCAAGACAGUGAUCUGUA